CCGGGCUGAACCAAGUGGACCCAGGGACCCAGGAGAACAUGGCAUCCUUUAAGAAGAUGCUCAGGGGGCUGCUGGAGGAGGCCUCCUCUGUCUACAGCACCAUUGGCAUCUUGAAGGAGCUCCACAGGUAUAUUGAAUCAGAGGAGCCCCGGCUGCAGGCUCUGGGCCGAGAAGCCUACGCCUACGUCCUGCAGCAUGUGGCCAGACUGCCCAAUGUGGAACUGACCACACACAAGGCUCUCUUGCGCAUUGAAGAUGAC
Molecule: long non-coding RNA, 260 nt
Organism: Hemicordylus capensis (graceful crag lizard)
Lineage: Eukaryota; Metazoa; Chordata; Lepidosauria; Squamata; Cordylidae
Exons: 4
Source: RefSeq, a predicted model, not a curated record